This 432-nucleotide ribosomal RNA is filed under the name uncultured bacterium. RNAcentral's name for it is "partial 16S ribosomal RNA". It matches the Rfam family "Bacterial small subunit ribosomal RNA", at positions 29 to 507 of the family's 1533-position model. The record is from RNAcentral.
ACGAACGCUGGCGGCAUGCCUAACACAUGCAAGUCGAACGAGACCUUCGGGUCUAGUGGCGCACGGGUGCGUAACGCGUGGGAACCUGCCCUUAGGUUCGGAAUAACUCCCCGAAAGGGGUGCUAAUACCGGAUAAUGUCUUCGGACCAAAGAUUUAUCGCCUUUGGAUGGGCCCGCGUUGGAUUAGCUAGUUGGUAGGGUAAAAGCCUACCAAGGCGACGAUCCAUAGCUGGUCUGAGAGGAUGAUCAGCCACACUGGGACUGAGACACGGACCAGACUCCUACGGGAAGCAGCAGUGGGGAAUAUUGGACAAUGGGCGAAAGCCUGAUCCAGCAAUGCCGCGUGAGUGAUGAAGGCCUUAGGGUUGUAAAGCUCUUUUACCCGGGAUGAUAAUGACAGUACCGGGAGAAUAAGCUCCGGCUAACUCCGUG